Molecule: ribosomal RNA, 253 nt
Filed under: uncultured bacterium
Lineage: Bacteria
Description: partial 16S ribosomal RNA
Rfam family: Bacterial small subunit ribosomal RNA
Source: RNAcentral
UACGUAGGGUGCGAGCGUUAAUCGGAAUUACUGGGCGUAAAGCGUGCGCAGGCGGUGAUGUAAGACAGAUGUGAAAUCCCCGGGCUCAACCUGGGAACUGCAUUUGUGACUGCAUCGCUGGAGUGCGGCAGAGGGGGAUGGAAUUCCGCGUGUAGCAGUGAAAUGCGUAGAUAUGUGGAGGAACACCAAUGGCGAAGGCAGUCUUCUGGGCCAAUAUUGACGCUGAGGCUCGAAAGCGUGGGUAGCAAACAGG